AGUGGUUGUGGCUGGCCGGUGUGGCCGUGGCGCUGGUGCUGCCGCUGCUGGCGCUGUUCCGCCAAGCCUGGUUCGACGGCGCGGGGCGCUG
Molecule: transfer RNA, 91 nt
Filed under: Cupriavidus yeoncheonensis
Lineage: Bacteria; Pseudomonadati; Pseudomonadota; Betaproteobacteria; Burkholderiales; Burkholderiaceae
Description: tRNA-Thr
Source: RNAcentral